GUAGGUGGCAAGCGUUGUCCGGAAUUAUUGGGCGUAAAGCGCGCGCAGGCGGUUCUUAAGUCUGAUGUGAAAGCCCACGGGCUCAACCGUGGAGGGUCAUUGGAAACUGGAGAACUUGAGUACAGAAAAGGAAAGCGGAAUUCCACGUGUAGCGGUGAAAUGCGUAGAGAUGUGGAGGAACACCAGUGGCGAAGGCGGCUUUCUGGUCUGUAACUGACGCUGAGGCGCGAAAGCGUGGGGAGCAAACAGGAUUAGAUACCCUGGUAGUCCACGCCGUAAACGAUGAGUGCUAAGUGUUAGGGGGUUUCCGCCCCUUAGUGCUGCAGCAAACGCAUUAAGCACUCCGCCUGGGGAGUACGGCCGCAAAGGCUG
RNAcentral lists this ribosomal RNA (372 nucleotides) under uncultured organism. RNAcentral's name for it is "partial 16S ribosomal RNA". It matches the Rfam family "Bacterial small subunit ribosomal RNA", at positions 527 to 896 of the family's 1533-position model. The record is from RNAcentral.